Molecule: ribosomal RNA, 1201 nt
Filed under: metagenome
Description: bacterial SSU rRNA
Rfam family: Bacterial small subunit ribosomal RNA
Source: RNAcentral
UGCAAUUGCACCGUCUGGAGAUGAGCCUGCGGUCCAUUAGCUUGUUGGUGGGGUAAAGGCCUACCAAGGCAACGAUGGAUAGCCGGCCUGAGAGGGUGAACGGCCACACUGGGACUGAGACACGGCCCAGACUCCUACGGAAGGCAGCAGCUAAGAAUCUUCCGCAAUGGGCGAAAGCCUGACGGAGCGACGCCGCUUGAAUGAAGAAGGCCUAACGGUUGUAAAAUUCUUUUCUUGGGGAAGAAUAAGGAAUGGAGUGGAAAGCCAUUCUGAUGACAUUAUCCAAGGAACAAGCCCCGGCCAAUUACGUGCCAGCAGCCGCGGUAAUACGUAAGGGGCAAGCGUUGUUCGGAAUUAUUGGGCGUAAAGGGCGUGUAGGCGGUUUUAUAAGCCCGAUGUGAAAUACCACAGCUCAACUGUGGAAACGCGUCGGGAACUGUAAGACUAGAGUUCAGGAAGGGAAGCUGGAAUUCCUGGUGUAGGGGUGAAAUCUGUAGAUAUCAGGAAGAACACCGAUGGCGAAGGCAAGCUUCUAGACAUGGACUGACGCUGAGGCGCGAAAGCGUGGGGAGCGAACAGGAUUAGAUACCCUGGUAGUCCACGCUGUAAACGAUGUACACUUGGUGUAGGGACGAACGUCUCUGUGCCGGAGCUAACGCGUUAAGUGUACCGCCUGGGGAGUAUGCCCGCAAGGGUGAAACUCAAAGGAAUUGACGGGGGCCCGCACAAGCGGUGGAGCAUGUGGUUUAAUUCGAUGAUACGCGAGAAACCUUACCAGGGCUUGACAUCUACCGGAAUGUACAAGAGAUUGUGCAGUCUUCUUUGAAGACUGGUAGACGGGUGCUGCAUGGCUGUCGUCAGCUCGUGUCGUGAGAUGUUGGGUUAAGUCCCGCAACGAGCGCAACCCUUACUGUCUGUUACCAGCAUACUUUAUUGUGAUGGGGACUCAGGCAGAACUGCCGGUGACAAACAGGAGGAAGGUGGGGACGACGUCAAGUCAUCAUGGCCCUUAUGUCCUGGACUACACACGUGCUACAAUGGUCGUUACAGAGCGGAGCGAGACGGCGACGUCAAGCAAAUCGCAAAAAGACGACCUAAGUUCGGAUUGGAGUCUGAAACUCGACUCCAUGAAGCUGGAAUCGCUAGUAAUCGCGCAUCAGCAUGGCGCGGUGAAUAAGUUCCCGGGCCUUGUACACACCGC